AUUGAACGCUGGCGGCAGGCCUAACACAUGCAAGUCGAACGCGUGGCGGACGUGUGAGUAAUGUCUGGGAAACUGCCUGAUGGAGGGGGAUAACUACUGGAAACGGUAGCUAAUACCGCAUACUAUCGGAUGUGCCCAGAUGGGAUUAGCGAGUAGGUGGGGUAACGGCUCACCUAGGAGACGAUCCCUAGCUGGUCUGAGAGGAUGACCAUCCACACGGGAACUGGGACACGGUCCAGACUCCGACGGGAGGCAGCAGUGGGGAAUAUUGCACAAUGGGCGCAAGCCUGAUGCAGCCAUGCCGCGGGGGUGAAGAAGGCCUUCGGGUUGUAAAGCACUUUCAGCGGGGAGGCGUUACCCGCAGAAGAAGCACCGGCUAACUCCGUGCCAGCAGCCGCGGUAAUAC
RNAcentral lists this ribosomal RNA (406 nucleotides) under uncultured bacterium. Its description in RNAcentral is "partial 16S ribosomal RNA". It matches the Rfam family "Bacterial small subunit ribosomal RNA", at positions 29 to 526 of the family's 1533-position model. The record is from RNAcentral.